GCCCAAGGUAAGGAAUAACGUCGAGAAAUCGGCGCUAAUACCUCAUAAUGCAGCGAAUCCGCAUGGAUAUGUUGUUAAAGGUUUACCGCCUUGGGAUAGGCUUGCGUCUGAUUAGCUAGUUGGUGUGGUAAUGGCACACCAAGGCUACGAUCAGUAACUGGUCUGAGAGGAUGAUCAGUCACACUGGAACUGAGACACGGUCCAGACUCCUACGGGAGGCAGCAGUGAGGAAUAUUGGGCAAUGCACGAAAGUGUGACCCAGCAACGCCGCGUGGAGGAUGAAGGUAUUCUAUAUCGUAAACUCCUGUGAGAGCAGACGAAAGACAGAUUAUUAAUUUGGAUGACUGUAUGCUCAGAGGAAGCCCCGGCUAACUACGUG
RNAcentral lists this ribosomal RNA (379 nucleotides) under uncultured bacterium. RNAcentral's name for it is "bacterial SSU rRNA". It matches the Rfam family "Bacterial small subunit ribosomal RNA", at positions 129 to 507 of the family's 1533-position model. The record is from RNAcentral.